Molecule: ribosomal RNA, 248 nt
Filed under: uncultured bacterium
Lineage: Bacteria
Description: partial 16S ribosomal RNA
Rfam family: Bacterial small subunit ribosomal RNA
Source: RNAcentral
GCAAGUCGAACGAGGAAAUCCCUUCGGGGAGAGUAUGAGUGGCGCACGGGUGAGGAACGCGUGGAUAAUCUGCCCUUCAGUGGGGAAUAACUAGGGGAAACUCUGGCUAAUACCGCAUGAGACCACAGUGCCUGCGGGCACAGAGGUCAAAGAUUUAUCGCUGAAGGAUGAGUCCGCGUCCGAUUAGCUUGUUGGUAGGGUAAAGGCCUACCAAGGCGACGAUCGGUAACUGGUCUGAGAGGAUGAUC